UACAGAGGUCUCAAGCGUUGUUCGGAUUCAUUGGGCGUAAAGGGCGCGUAGGCUGCGGGGUAAGUCGGGUGUGAAAUCUCAGAGCUCAACUCUGAAACUGCACUCGAUACUGCUCUGCUUGAGGACUGGAGAGGAGAUUGGAAUUCACGGUGUAGCAGUGAAAUGCGUAGAUAUCGUGAGGAAGACCAGUGGCGAAGGCGGAUCUCUGGACAGUUCCUGACGCUGAGGCACGAAGGCCAGGGGAGCAAACGGG
Molecule: ribosomal RNA, 253 nt
Filed under: uncultured bacterium
Lineage: Bacteria
Description: partial 16S ribosomal RNA
Rfam family: Bacterial small subunit ribosomal RNA
Source: RNAcentral